This 4990-nucleotide long non-coding RNA is filed under the name Brassica napus (rape). Its description in RNAcentral is "long non-coding RNA (BNAP_LNC009893)". Lineage: Eukaryota; Viridiplantae; Streptophyta; Magnoliopsida; Brassicales; Brassicaceae. The record is from RNAcentral.
GUAAGCUUCACGGUGGAGUUCGUCAUAAGGAACAGGGCACGGGAGAUUCGAGUAAUCAACUUUCUCAUCCACUUUAGGCUGCUUUCCGUCGAUUUGUGCCGUCACGAGAGGUGGGAAGAGAUCCGCCAUCGCCGUCGCCGCUACCGCCUUUUCAAAAUCGUUUACGGCCGCGACGGUAGAAAAGGAAGGGUCUUCUAUUUGGGGGCGAUUCUCUUUAGGGAUGUUAAUAUGUGCUCAACUCCACAGGGUUGCACCGAUUUGUAGCCUAACCCUUGUUUAUGUAACAGGAUUUAAAAAUAACUGGCUCUAAGAAGGGGAUUAUUGCAACAUGAAUUUCUGUGGAAUUUUAUGAUUUUAAUAGUUGUGAGUAUUUUACAAGUUAACUAGAUUUAAAAUUUUUUAUCAAAUAUUUUUACAUAGAUUUUCAUUACUUGUGCAUAGAAUUCUAUUGAUUUUUAUUAACUUUUAAAGUAAGAAAUUAAUGGUGGUUGAAAAAAAUGAAAAGAAAAUCAUUUCAAUUAAGGCAAUUCUUAAACAACUUUUAAAAAAGUUUUUCUCACAAAAAAAAUCUCAAGAAAUAAAAUGACCAAAAAAUUUAAUUUCUACUUUUUACUUUAUAGAUAUAUAAAUAAUAAAUAAUAAAAAUAUUUUUUUAUAUAAUUUCGAAAUAUAUGUUUUAAAUUUGAUUUUUUGUAAAAAAUUUUGAAUUAAUAUUUUUCAAAUGUUUUUUAAAAAAAUUUGAAAGUUCUUUUUAAAACUAUUUUUACAAUUUUUAUUUUAAAUUUUUAAUAUUUUUUUCUAUUUUUUUAAGUUGUGAAUUUUAUUAUGUUAAAGUCGUGAUUUGUAUAUUAUUUCAUUCUUCAAUUUGAGUUUUUGUAUGUGAGUGUAUUUUAUUACAUUGAUUUCAAAAAUCUUAUGGGUAUAGAUGAUAUUCUCAAANNNNNNNNNNNNNNNNNNNNNNNNNNNNNNNNNNNNNNNNNNNNNNNNNNNNNNNNNNNNNNNNNNNNNNNNNNNNAAUAAUAAACAGAAUAUAAGGCGGCUCGGCCGACCAAUAAAUAAUAAACAGAAUAUAAGGCGGCUCAGCCGACCAAUAAAUAAUAAACAGAAUAUAAGGCGGCUCGGUCGACCAAUAAAUAAUAAACAGAAUAUAAGGCGGCUCGGCCGACCAAUAAAUAAAUUAAAUUACUAGUAAAUAAUAUAAGCGGUAUUCCAGCCAUUAUAACAUGAUAUAAAUAAUAGUAGAGGCGGUAUACCGACCAUUAUAACAGGGUAUAAAUGAUACAAAUAAAUUUUACCGAAUCGCAGAGUGAUCGUGCUGAUAACGUGUUAUAAAAUAACUUAUGAGUUUAUAGUAUUGAGAAAUUUAAAUAAGAGUAAAAAUUUAUACCCGUAGGAGAAGAUAACACUGAUAUAGAGAGAGAGUGUUUCUUAUUAAGGAGAAGAGAAGAGUUUUCAGUGUGUUUACAAACGAACGCAAACGUUCGUAUAUAUAGAAAAAAAUUUACUGUGCAAAUAGUGCAGCGGGCCCCACAUCUUUUUAUAUUUUCAACGAAAGCGGCUCCUCCCUUUUCUUUGACUUUCGUAACAGAAACAAAGGUAACACAGUGUUACAUAAAAAAAGGUAAAAGUUUACCUUUGCUCGGCCCACGAUUACGUCUCUUGGCCCAUCUAACCAUUUCCAAAUUCCAACUCACUUUUAAAGACAUACUGUCAAAUACAUUAGAGAAAACUAUACUUUCUACAAAGACUGUUUAAAAUAAAUAAAGAGAAAUUUGAUUCAAAUACUAUAAGUCGGCUAAAACUUUUCAAAAUACUUUUAAUCAAAAAUAGUUUAACAUUUAGAUUUAAGGUUUAGUGAUUAUUGUUAAUCUAUUAGUAUUUAGUGGAUGAGAUUGGUUUUAUAAACGAUUUAAGAUAUUUAUGAAAAUAAUUAAUUUUUAAAAUUAAAUUAAAAAAAAUAGUAGCAAAAUUUGGUAAAAUUAAAAUCAUCCUUAAAUAAAAUACACUAAGAAUAGUUUCAGAUUUUAGAUGUAUUUGGCUAUUGUCCCAACAUUUUUACUGAUUUAUAUUAGAAAAUUUACAAAAUAAAUAUAUAAAAUAUAUUUUAAUCUUUUUCUAUAAAAUAACAUUUAUUUAUUCACACUGCCAAUUCUGUUUUAAAAUCAAAUAAAAAAGAGAUUAUUUGAAUAGAUCUUUUUGCUGUUGUCCCAACAUUUUUACUGAUUUCUAUUAGAAAAUUUACAAAAUAAAUAUAUAAAAUAUAUGUUAAUCUUUUUUCUAUAAAAUAAUUUUUUUUAUUCACACUGCCAAUUCUGUUUUAAAAUAAAAAAUUGAGAUUAUUUGAAUAGAUUUUUUUGCAGUAAAAACAAAUAAAAAAUAGUAAUGAGUUAAAGAUACUGGUAUUAAAAGAAAAGUAAAAAAGUAAAGAUGCCUUUGAGAGGAAUCCUAAACCGAGAAAAUAAACAACACAAACAUUCUUCCUUAUGAAUAAAAGCCUAAACUGAAAUUUUGAGAGGGAAAUACAAAUAAUAAUAAAUUUAAACCGAGUCCCUCGGCUGACCGCUGCAAUCUGCGCUGCGUGUAUAGAGCCAGUGCUUUAUUGCGUGCUGCUGCUUCUUUUCUUAGCCGACUGUUAAACCAAAUCCAAACUUGUAGUCUUUCUUCUUAUGGUCAACCUGUGAGAAAAAAAAAAAACCCAAUCAAGGAGUUUUCAAACAAGAAUCUUCGGUUCAAGUCUCAGUACAUGAACGAACAAGGUACAACAUCAUAUUACCUCUGCAGACAGAAGAAAAUUAAGUCCCAUACUCAACCUUUCUUCCAGGAGAGCUGAUGUAACUCCGUUGGAAUCAAUCUUCCCCCUAACACGAGACUGAAACAACAGCACACAGAUUAUAAGAAUCAAUACGCAUGUUAUUGCUUGUUUUUCAGUUCCAUUACAAUCCAGAAAUUUACCUGUCUGAGAAUGUAGUCAUACCCAACACUAGCUACAACAUCUCUUGAAAAGUAGUUGUACACAAAAUCAGUGGCGAGUGAAACCUGAUCAUUAAGGUUAAAAAUGAAGGUUGUCUUGUUUUAUCUCUAUACUCUUGUAAAAAGGGUUAUAAGAUGAGCUCAAUGAUAAAAGGUAGUUGUACCUUCUCGGAAAUCUUCUGAACAUAGUUCAUAACUACAUUACCAGUGCUAGCAACUUGCGCAGAGGCGACCUGUUGGUAAAAAAUAGUUCUUAGUAUGAUAGGUACUACACAAACUGUUUAGAGUGUUGUUCCAACACAGCUUGAAAACGAGUAGUGAUGAAUUAACUGAGAAGAUGAAUUACCAUCUGAUCAGUUUCGUAUCUUGCAGCGUAACCUAUACCCGACUUCCUUGGCACACCAGCCCAGAAAACUUCCCCACCCAAUGAUAGACGGGGUGUCACACUCUGUUCAAAAAUUUAUUAAUAUACAAUGAGAACAAUGAAUAAAUAAACAAAAAGACAACUUUUCUUAUAACCAUAAAACUAAGCAUGACAAAACAAAGAUGAUUAGAACGAGUUAUGGUUCUUCUCUCAUCACUACGUUACUGCAAGAGAGCAUAAGUGCAAAGAUGUCUAACCCUUUUCCUAUCUACUAUUUGACUUCAUGAGGAAAAUUUUGCAAAAUUGCAAGGGGGACAAUAGUCAACUUUACCUGAAUAUACGUUGCUCCAACUAGAGCACUGUUCCCAAGUUGAAGUUGGGCUCUGUAGUCUUUUCCCUACACAAACAUGAGAUGAAGAAACUCAAGACGAACCAGACGGAUAAGAAAAUUUCAAACAGAAAGAAGUUCCUCACCAUGUAGUCAAAGUUGAACACCGCAUGUGACAUAUGUGGCUCACCUGUCAGCUGGAGAAAGGGAAAAAAAGGAUGAUAAAUACAAUAUUCCAGAUACAGCAUAGAACAAACACAUUCUCCAGUUGAAGCACUUACUUGAGCAUUGGCCUUUAAGAUCAACUUAUCACUUAAAUCAGCUUUCACUCUUGCAUUGAGUCUACCAUCAGUCAUAACCCUUCCAACAAGCAUCAACUGCAUAUUAAUAUUUGUCAUUCUCAUAUCUUCUUGAUAGCCAUAUAUAAAUCACCAGAAAAGCUACCUUUGGGUCAAAGUAAUUGGCACCAAACUCAUAAUGGGCUGUUGGAAUUUUGAUCGUUGUGUCAGGUGACUGAGAAGGAACUUCGGUUGGCCCCAUCAUUACACUAUUUCAAUAAAAAAAAAGGAUAACAGAGUUAAUCAUAAACGCAAAUAAACGCAAGUGUUUAGCAAUAAACCUGGAAACAUAAUGUAACUAACCUGUGGCUGAGAGAAAACCUUUGAUUCAACCCUUUGGAAAAGUCAAAACGUAAACCCUCAAAAGUUUCAGACUUUAAAGACACUGCAAAGAAUAAUCAAAACCAGUUAGAAACAUAAAUCAAAAUGAUUCACCAAAACAGUAAAGAAAACAUAAGGAGGGACACUAAUGUGACUACAAAGAUUCAAUCAAAGAAAGCAUCAUGAACAAGUUCUGAUCUCAGAAUCUACAAUUCGAAAGAUUACAAGCAGUUGUUAUCAUAGAUUUUGACAAAAGACAUACACUGAGUAGCCAAUGAACAGUGUCUAAUUCGAAUCAAUUGACCAAUUUCAAUGGAAACAAAACACAAAUUAAAUCUCUAAGAAGGACAAUAGAAUGCACUAGAGUCACACUCAUCUAUCAAGAAAAUCAAAGGAUAGGAGAAAAGUGGAUAAGAGAUACUGAACUGUAAGCUUCACGGUGGAGUUCGUCAUAAGGAACAGGGCACGGGAGAUUCGAGUAAUCAACUUUCUCAUCCACUUUAGGCUGCUUUCCGUCGAUUUGUGCCGUCACGAGAGGUGGGAAGAGAUCCGCCAUCGCCGUCGCCGCUACCGCCUUUUCAAAAUCGUUUACGGCCGCGACGGUAGAAAAGGAAGGGUCUUCUAUUUGGGGGCGAUUCUCUUUAGGGAUGUUAAUAUGUGCUCAACUCC